This 478-nucleotide ribosomal RNA is filed under the name uncultured bacterium. RNAcentral's name for it is "partial 16S ribosomal RNA". It matches the Rfam family "Bacterial small subunit ribosomal RNA", at positions 28 to 523 of the family's 1533-position model. The record is from RNAcentral.
GAUGAACGCUGACAGAAUGCUUAACACACGCAAGUCUACUUGAUUCUACUUCGGUAGUUGAUGGUGGCGGACGGGUGAGUAACGCGUAAAGAAUCUGCCCUUUAGUUUGGGAUAACCUUUGGAAACGAAGGCUAAUACCGGAUAUUAUGGAGACGUCGCAUGACGACUCCAUGAAAGCUAUAUGCGCUGGAGGAGGACUUUGCGUCCCAUUAGUUAGUUGGUAAGGUAAUGGCUCACCAAGACCGCGAUGGGUAGCCGGCCUGAGAGGGUGAUCGGCCACAAGGGAACUGAGACACGGUCCUUACUCCUACGGGAGGCAGCAGUGGGGAAUAUUGGACAAUGGGCCACAAGCCUGAUCCAGCAAUUCUGUGUGCAGGAUGAAGGUCUUCGGAUUGUAAAGUGCUUUCAGUAGGGAGGAAAAAAAUGACGGUACCUACAGAAGAAGCGACGGCUAAAUAUGUGCCAGCCGCCGCAGUAA